This 448-nucleotide ribosomal RNA is filed under the name uncultured bacterium. RNAcentral describes it as "bacterial SSU rRNA". It matches the Rfam family "Bacterial small subunit ribosomal RNA", at positions 28 to 477 of the family's 1533-position model. The record is from RNAcentral.
GAUGAACGCUGGCGGCGUGCCUAACACAUGCAAGUCGAACGGAGCUGCUUUGAUGAAGUUUUCGGAUGGAUUUAAAACAGCUUAGUGGCGGACGGGUGAGUAACGCGUGGGUAACCUGCCUCACACUGGGGGAUAACAGUUAGAAAUAGCUGCUAAUACCGCAUAAGCGCACGGUUCCGCAUGGAACAGUGUGAAAAACUCCGGUGGUGUGAGAUGGACCCGCGUCUGAUUAGCCAGUUGGCGGGGUAACGGCCCACCAAAGCGACGAUCAGUAGCCGGCCUGAGAGGGUGAACGGCCACAUUGGGACUGAGACACGGCCCAAACUCCUACGGGAGGCAGCAGUGGGGAAUAUUGCACAAUGGGGGAAACCCUGAUGCAGCGACGCCGCGUGAGUGAAGAAGUAUUUCGGUAUGUAAAGCUCUAUCAGCAGGGAAGAAAGUGACGGUA